Long non-coding RNA from Chiroxiphia lanceolata (lance-tailed manakin), 3295 nucleotides. RefSeq lists it as uncharacterized. NCBI's taxonomy places the organism in Eukaryota, Metazoa, Chordata, Aves, Passeriformes, Pipridae. The record is from RefSeq and is a predicted model, not a curated record. The transcript has 4 exons.
AGAUCUGGGCCUGUGCCUUCCUCAUCAGCAUGCCUAUUAAUGUCAAGACUGAGGACAUGAGAAGGAUGAGGUGAUCAGCGCACAGCAGUGAAAAAGACGCCAGUACAAGGAUCAAGACCAAAAGUGAUCAGACUUCAGACAGAGAAGGAGUAGGAAAAUUGCUGAGGUCUCCACGCAGGUGUCUAAUAACAGUCCCACCAAGGUGGAAGUCAAACUGUCUCACAACUCAGCCUCUUCUCCCUAGUGCCUGUGGAGGCAGCUUCCAGCACGACACAUCCCAUCUUUGCCUCUCCAGAGUAUGGGACUGCUUGCAUCGUUCUCUGAAGGGUCUAGUGCUGGUACUUCUAGACACUAGGCUGUUUCCUUUCAGGAAGUUUCUUCUACAUGUUCUGCAGACUGCUGGUACUGAUGACGAUAAUGAAGAGGCCACUCAUUAGGAGAGAGGCUUUUUAGUGAUCAGUCUUUCCACUUACUUCGGGAAUACUGUUGAAAAAGCUUUCAGCAUUACUGAACAACAACCAGAAUUCCCAGCAACACUGCGUUGGACAGCCCUGCUUGUUGGAAGAAGGUGAAGAAGGAGCUUCCUACUUGGGUACCCUGGGAGGGAAGUGACCGUUGUGGGUGGAGGCGUGCAGAAAACACACCCGAAGUCCCACUGCUUUCCUGUGCAGGGAAAUCCUUCAGCUUGACUGGAGUCAGAGGAAACCUGGUUUCUGUCCCCACACAAGGUCACACUGCAGUCUCGGGGAUCAAUUUUCCUGGAUAAACCAGAGGUUUCCUCCCAGUGGACACUCCUAUGCUCUCUUUCUCUAGCAAGCAGCUUUGAUUCAGGAAACUUUUUCCGCUGAUUGGGUAUCAGCUGAUUGUUACUGGAGUGCUGGGAUACUGGAGAGUUGGAUGAUGAAAUGCCUCACCUGUGGCUGCCCAAUCUCAUGCUGCUUCCUCUCUUCAAUAAUGCUCCCACACAGACAUCCAUUUACUUAUCUAACCAUGGGCUAACUUUUUGUCUGGUUUUUUUUGAGCUGUUGUGGGAUUUGUUUCCAGUAGGCGUAUUACUUGAUUAAUGACCUUUCUGUUAACACUUGCUCAUAUUCCAUAUGGGAUCUUCUUGGGCUAUCUAAAUGCACAAAAUACUUAAACUAAUUUUUUUUCUCAGCUCAUCUCUGUUUUUAAUAACACAAUUUUUUUCUCCUGCCUCCAAAGAAAAAAGAGCAUUUUUUAGCUUGCUCAAGCUCACGUUGAAUGUUUCUUGUGAUUCAUGUUGUCACUUUAUGCAGUAUUCCAAGAAAACAGAGCAUGGACAGGCUCUGUCAGGAAGGGUUUUGUAAUCUAUUUGUCAUUUCUUUUCUGUAUAGAUUAAGGGCUAAAUUUUGUGAUGGCAGAUGAAUUUGUAGACCCCAUCUUGAAAUCACGCCAGCUAUUCAAAAGAGAGAAGCUGCUUUUCUUUCAACCCAUGAUAGUAGCGCUUUCCUGGAUGCAAGUUGAAAAAUAUUUACAUCAUUAUAAAUAAGCAGUGUGUAACUAUAAAUAAAGAACACGGGUAAUAAAGUGUUAUCAUUGAAGUUGAAAUUAAAAUUGGAUCCUACCAAGCCCUAAACAUAGAUCAUGACAGAAAAAUCCAAUAAGGUUUUUUUGUUUGUUUGUUUGUAGGUGCUGUAAUUAUAGACUAGAUAAAGGAAAGAAAAGAUUAUACAGCAGACAUAAUUUGUAAUGAUUACAGUAACAUUUCUGAUGCAAUGCCAUGAAAAGAAUGACUACUUGUGCAUGGCAUCCACACGUGCAUCUACAUCCCUCCUCAGGGAGGUGCCCUCUGCAGCACUUACCUCAUAACCUGAGACAUGUCACAGCCUGUAUGACCAUGGGCUAUGUGACCACAGCCUGUAUGACUGCGGGCCUGUUUCCAAAGAAUAUGCUCUGGUGUGCACUGGGUGACUCCUGCUAGGGUUGUCCCUGAACCUGACCCCAUGCAGCUAGAUCCCCCCACCCAGGGGAGCCCCUGUUGUAUGGUAAAUUAAGAAGCCCUGGAGUAGAGGGAUGCGUUGACUGUCUCUAAAUGCAAGACGUUCAUCUUGAAUUAAGUUACUUCUUUAUCAUCAGGGUUUGAUCCGAGCACUGUGCCCUUCACUGGCAGAGCAGGAAAAGAUUUGCCUCCAUUGGGAACAUGGACCAUUGUGAAAAAGUGCAGUUGGGUGCAGAAAAGCCCUGAGAGAUGUUCAUGCAAAAACAGAAAGCAUUUCGUUUUAGUUACCAAGAGUGAAGUCUCUUGUUGCCUUUCUGGAAACCAAGGCUUGAGGCCAAAAGCAAUUUCUUGUACUUCAAUAACUGAAAAUAAAGCCUUAAAAAAGAACAUGUCAGGGAAUUAAAUGAGAACCACAAGUUUAGCAGGGCUAGUGAUUGCCCUGGAGAAUAUUGAGGUGAAAUGUAUAGAAAAGAGGGGGUUAGAGACACAGUUAAGUGAAUUACUAGUCCCAUCUGUAACACCUGUCAUAGUCCUGACUGCUGGGUAUUUACUUUCAAAGAAAUCAGCUUGCACUACUGUUUGAUGAAGAGCCCUAAAUCAGGUGUAGAGGCGCAAUUACUGAAAAUGAAUCUGUCAGAGCAAAGCUCAGGUAAUCAAGGAGUCCUGUUUGGGCUCCCCUCCUGUACCCAUCCUUGCCUUAGGGAUAACCGAAACCAAUGUUCCUCAAACCUAUUGGGAAUGAGCAACACAGAUACAAGGUAGACUUACUAAGAAGGUUAAAGAAACUUUAACAUGUUUGCCACAGGCUGAUAAUGGCAUCUGGGAGUCAGCCAUCCACAGGGGCAUGUCAAAUGGUGUUUGUAUCUCCUUGAAAAGAAUCAGGAUUAUUUUAGUGCCAAACAGAAGACAUAAUCUGAUGCAAUUUUCAGAAGCACCAUCAGCCCCUGAUAGACAACAUAUGCCCACAGCUUCUCACACCUUCCUGCAGUAGCGGGUAUGUUCUGAUAGGGUUUCAGCGUGCAGUGCAUGACAGAUGAUUUGAAAACUGAGUAUUCCUGAGGAAUGGGCAUGAGACUCUCGUUUGAUUCUCUGAACUCAGUCCAUUGACUAGUGUCUCUGAGCAAAGACGUUUUUUUCAUUAACUAGAUCUCUGUUUAGUUGUACCUUUCUUAUUAUAGAUGAGAUUCCCCCCAGCUUGUCUUUUGUCUUUAAGCUAUGCAAGUUUCUGUAGAAAAUUAUGCAUGAAUAUAUAAAAGGCUGUGGACAAUAUCAAGAAAUGAGUAUGCUAACAUUUCUGUUUCUUGGACACAUUUUGGUUGGGUUUAGUUUUUUGUU